CAGUCGCCGCGGGAAUACGAAGGGGGCUAGCGUUGCUCGGAAUGACUGGGCGUAAAGGGCGCGUAGGCGGAUUGCGCAGUCAGAUGUGAAAUUCCUGGGCUUAACCUGGGGGCUGCAUUUGAGACGCGUAGUCUAGAGUGUGAAAGAGGGUCGUGGAAUUCCCAGUGUAGAGGUGAAAUUCGUAGAUAUUGGGAAGAACACCGGUGGCGAAGGCGGCGACCUGGUUCAUAACUGACGCUGAGGCGCGAAAGCGUGGGGAGCAAACAGGAUUAGAUACCCCGGUAGUCCCUGUCUCUUAUAC
Molecule: ribosomal RNA, 301 nt
Filed under: uncultured bacterium
Lineage: Bacteria
Description: partial 16S ribosomal RNA
Rfam family: Bacterial small subunit ribosomal RNA
Source: RNAcentral